GAAAUGCGAUAAGUAGUGUGAAUUGCAGAAUUCAGUGAAUCAUCGAAUCUUUGAACGCACAUUGCGCCCUUUGGUAUUCCAAAGGGCAUGCCUGUUCGAGCGUCAUUUGUACCCUCAAGCUUUGCUUGGUGUUGGGCGUCUUGUCUCUAGCUUUGCUGGAGACUCGCCUUAAAGUAAUUGGCAGCCGGCCUACUGGUUUCGGAGCGCAGCACAAGUCGCACUCUCUAUCAGCAAAGGUCUAGCAUCCAUUAAGCCUUUUUUUCAACUUUUGACCUCGGAUCAGGGAGGGAUACCCGCUGAACUUAAGC
Molecule: unclassified non-coding RNA, 308 nt
Filed under: plant metagenome
Description: partial contains 5.8S ribosomal RNA, internal transcribed spacer 2, and large subunit ribosomal RNA
Rfam family: 5.8S ribosomal RNA (bases 1-105)
Source: RNAcentral